AUUGAACGCUGGCGGCAGGCCUAACACAUGCAAGUCGAGCGGAUGAAGGGAGCUUGCUCCUGGAUUCAGCGGCGGACGGGUGAGUAAUGCCUAGGAAUCUGCCUGGUAGUGGGGGAUAACGUCCGGAAACGGGCGCUAAUACCGCAUACGUCCUGAGGGAGAAAGUAGGGGAUCUUCGGACCUCACGCUAUCAGAUGAGCCUAGGUCGGAUUAGCUAGUUGGUGGGGUAAAGGCCUACCAAGGCGACGAUCCGUAACUGGUCUGAGAGGAUGAUCAGUCACACUGGAACUGAGGCACGGUCCAGACUCCUACGGGAGGCAGCAGUGGGGAAUAUUGGACAAUGGGCGAAAGCCUGAUCCAGCCAUGCCGCGUGUGUGAAGAAGGUCUUCGGAUUGUAAAGCACUUUAAGUUGGGAGGAAGGGCAGUAAGUUAAUACCUUGCUGUUUUGACGUUACCAACAGAAUAAGCACCGGCUAACUUCGUG
This 484-nucleotide ribosomal RNA is filed under the name uncultured bacterium. RNAcentral's name for it is "partial 16S ribosomal RNA". It matches the Rfam family "Bacterial small subunit ribosomal RNA", at positions 30 to 507 of the family's 1533-position model. The record is from RNAcentral.